GACGAACGCUGGCGGCGUGCUUAACACAUGCAAGUCGAACGGUGAAGCGCCUUCCUUUUUGGUGGGUGUGGAUGAGUGGCGAACGGGUGAGUCACACGUGAGUAACCUGCCCCCUUCUUCUGGAUAACCGCAUGAAAGUGUGGCUAAUACGGGAUAUUCUGGGUCUGUCGCAUGAUGGGUCUGGGAAAGAUAUUGUUUCGGUGGGGGAUGGGCUCGCGGCCUAUCAGCUUGUUGGUGGGGUGAUGGCCUACCAAGGCGGUGACGGGUAGCCGGCCUGAGAGGGUGGACGGUCACACUGGGACUGAGACACGGCCCAGACUCCUACGGGAGGCAGCAGUGGGGAAUAUUGCACAAUGGGCGCAAGCCUGAUGCAGCGACGCCGCGUGAGGGAUGGAGGCCUUCGGGUUGUGAACCUCUUUCGCCAGUGAAGCAGGCCUGCCUCGUUUGUGGGUGGGUUGACGGUAGCUGGAUAAGAAGCGCCGGCUAACUACGUG
Molecule: ribosomal RNA, 494 nt
Filed under: uncultured bacterium
Lineage: Bacteria
Description: partial 16S ribosomal RNA
Rfam family: Bacterial small subunit ribosomal RNA
Source: RNAcentral